GAUGAACGCUAGCGGCAGGCUUAACACAUGCAAGUCGAGGGGCAGCAUAAAAGUAGCAAUACUUUGGUGGCGACCGGCGCACGGGUGAGUAACGCGUAUGCAACCUACCUAUCAGAGGGGAAUAACCCGGCGAAAGUCGGACUAAUACCGCAUAAAACAGGGGCACCGCAUGGUGAUAUUUGUUAAAGAAAUUCGCUGAUAGAUGGGCAUGCGUUCCAUUAGGUAGUUGGUGAGGUAACGGCUCACCAAGCCGACGAUGGAUAGGGGAACUGAGAGGUUGGUCCCCCACACUGGUACUGAGACACGGACCAGACUCCUACGGGAGGCAGCAGUGAGGAAUAUUGGUCAAUGGGCGAGAGCCUGAACCAGCCAAGUCGCGUGAAGGAAGAAGGAUCUAUGGUUCGUAAACUUCUUUUGCAGGGGAGUAAAGUGCGGGACGUGUCCUGUUUUGUAUGUACCCUGAGAAUAAGGAUCGGCUAACUCCGUGCCAGCCGCCGCCGUAA
This 503-nucleotide ribosomal RNA is filed under the name uncultured bacterium. RNAcentral describes it as "partial 16S ribosomal RNA". It matches the Rfam family "Bacterial small subunit ribosomal RNA", at positions 28 to 523 of the family's 1533-position model. The record is from RNAcentral.